This 527-nucleotide ribosomal RNA is filed under the name Adrastini sp. UPOL RK0017. Its description in RNAcentral is "partial 16S ribosomal RNA". The stretch from base 391 to 527 matches the Rfam family "Bacterial large subunit ribosomal RNA", at positions 2473 to 2610 of the family's 2925-position model. Lineage: Eukaryota; Metazoa; Arthropoda; Insecta; Coleoptera; Elateridae. The record is from RNAcentral.
CAUGUCCUUUUGAAUAUAAUUUAAGGUCUAAUCUGCUCAAUGAGGAGUUAAAUUGCCGCGGUAUUUUGACCGUGCAAAGGUAGCAUAAUAAUUAGUUUUUUUAUUGAAAGCUGGAAUGAAUGAUUGGACGAGAAAAUUUCUGUCUCUUUUUGAACUAUUAUUUAAUUUAACUUUUAAGUUAAAAGGCUUAAAUUUGUAUUAAAGACGAGAAGACCCUAUAGAGUUUAAUAAUUAUUUAAUUUUUGAUUAUUUGGUAUUUUUUAAUUUUUAGUUUAUUAAUUAUUUGGUUGGGGUGACUGGAAGAUUUAUUAAACUCUUCUAAUAAUGUUUAAUCAUUUAUUUUUGAAUAGUUUAUCUAUUUUUAAUAAAUUUAAGAUAAAUUACCUUAGGGAUAACAGCGUAAUUUCUCCUUAGAGUUCUUAUUAAUGGAGGAGUUUGCGACCUCGAUGUUGGAUUAAAAUUUAUUUUUGGUGCAGAAGCUAGAAUAUUGAGUCUGUUCGACUCUUAAAAUUUUACAUGAUCUGAGU